CAGUCGCCGCGGUAAUACAGAGGGUGCGAGCGUUAAUCGGAUUUACUGGGCGUAAAGCGUGCGUAGGCGGCUUCUUAAGUCGGAUGUGAAAUCCCUGAGCUUAACUUAGGAAUUGCAUUCGAUACUGGGAAGCUAGAGUAUGGGAGAGGAUGUUAGAAUUCCAGGUGUAGCGGUGAAAUGCGUAGAGAUCUGGAGGAAUACCGAUGGCGAAGGCAGCCAUCUGGCCUAAUACUGACGCUGAGGUACGAAAGCAUGGGGAGCAAACAGGAUUAGAUACCCCCGUAGUCCCUGUCUCUUAUAC
Molecule: ribosomal RNA, 301 nt
Filed under: uncultured bacterium
Lineage: Bacteria
Description: partial 16S ribosomal RNA
Rfam family: Bacterial small subunit ribosomal RNA
Source: RNAcentral